This 513-nucleotide ribosomal RNA is filed under the name uncultured bacterium. Its description in RNAcentral is "partial 16S ribosomal RNA". It matches the Rfam family "Bacterial small subunit ribosomal RNA", at positions 28 to 523 of the family's 1533-position model. The record is from RNAcentral.
GACGAACGCUGGCGGCAUGCCUAAUACAUGCAAGUCGAGCGAACAGAUGAAGUGCUUGCACUUCUGACGUUAGCGGCGAACGGGUGAGCAACACGUAAGGAAUCUACCUAUAAGCGGGGGAUAACAUUCGGAAACGGGUGCUAAUACCGCAUAAUAUCUUCUUCCGCAUGGAAGGAGAUUGAAAGACGGCUCUGCUGUCACUUAUAGAUGACCUUGCGGUGCAUUAGUUAGUUGGUGGGGUAACGGCCUACCAAGACGAUGAUGCAUAGCCGACCUGAGAGGGUGAUCGGCCACAUUGGGACUGAGACACGGCCCAAACUCCUACGGGAGGCAGCAGUAGGGAAUCUUCCGCAAUGGGCGAAAGCCUGACGGAGCAAUGCCGCGUGAGUGAAGAAGGCCUUCGGGUCGUAAAACUCUGUUAUAAGAGAAGAACAAAUUGUAGAGUAACUGCUACAGUCUUGACGGUAUCUUAUCAGAAAGCCACGGCUAACUACGUGCCAGCAGCCGCAGUAA